GCUAGUUGUUUCAUUUGUUGGUUGGUUGGAUGUAAGAACUGAAGGUGUUGCUUUUGCAAACUGAUUAUCUAUCCAGAAUGUUGCACUUGUGGUACUACAUGAUCUUACUAAUGCUUUUCUACUCGAUGUGGUUGGUAGUUUCUUGGCAGUAUCACGCAGAUUGGUUCUUAUUUAUGGCAUAUAUUUUUUUAUCAUAUAUACAUAUAUUAAUUAAUUCACUUCGGCCGUCUUCAUCAUCUAACAAUGUAGUGUGUGUGUGUGUAUGUGUGUGUGUUGAAAUGCAGAUGGCAGAGAACCGUGUGAUCUUUCUCAAUUCUGCCGCUAAAGAUGAAGAGAGUGCUUCCAUGCUUCUUCGGAGCGAAAUGGCAGAGUUGCCUUGAGGUAUGUUCUUGCUCCUGUGAUCCAUUUUCAUUCUGCACUUGCCUCAAGCUAAUCUAAGUGACACUGUUCAUAUGAAUCCAUUGUAAGUUGUGGGAGCACACUCUUCAUAUGGAGGAAAUAGUAAUGGUUGCUUGAUUUGUUUCAUGCCGGUAUAUAUCAUGCUCAAUUCUUAUCAUGAUCAUCCCUGCUUAUUUUUGUUUAUUAUAUCUAUUUAUUCCAGUAAAUCUCAUGAUUUAUGUCUGUAUAUAACAAAUGAUUCUUUAGUAAAUAUGGAUACCAAACUGAAUCUUAUUUUUGUGAAUUGUCACACUAGUAUUAUGUGUAGUUUUGGGAUGGCAGUACCAUACUGACACUACUAGGGAAAAGCUUAUACACAGAAUCUUACCAGUAGCGCUCCUCAAAAUACCACGCUACUGCUAUUUAGCAGCAGCGCGUAUUAUCAAAACACGCUGCUGACAGGAAAAUAGCAGUAGCGCGUCCACCACAAACCGCGNNNNNNNNNNNNNNNNNNNNNNNNNNNNNNNNNNNNNNNNNNNNNNNNNNNNNNNNNNNNNNNNNNNNNNNNNNNNNNNNNNNNNNNNNNNNNNNNNNNNNNNNNNNNNNNNNNNNNNNNNNNNNNNNNNNNNNNNNNNNNNNNNNNNNNNNNNNNNNNNNNNNNNNNNNNNNNNNNNNNNNNNNNNNNNNNNNNNNNNNNNNNNNNNNNNNNNNNNNNNNNAGUAGCGCACUAUAUUGAACAGCGCUACUACUAUAGAAGUUAGCAGCAACGCGCUUCUAGGAAAACCGCUACUGCUAAGAUCAGCCCACAAGUUUAGUCCCACCUCGCUCUGUGAACAGGGUGUUUACCACCUUAAAUAUGUUAUUUCUGAAACUACCACAACCAGUUGAUCUUCACUGAACUCUAUGUGUAAAAUUUGUGGCCGCAAUAUGAGUCCUCUCCGGUUCCUACCGGAGAGGACUCAUCUUGACAAUUCAGAUUGUACACAAAAAGAUCAUUGAUGGCCAAUGUAUUUUUGCAUUGACGUAUUUUUUGUAUAGUUACACUUAGCAGUAGCGGUUUAUAUGCAAAGUGCUACUGCUAUUCAGAUUAGCUGUAGCGCGUUUUGGAAAACGUGCUACAACUAUCCCUACCUUAUCCCCACGCGCACGACCGGCCCUCACUCAAACUCUCACUCUCGCCCGCGUGCCGAUAACCGUCGUCGUGUGUCGCCGCCGCCGCCGCGCGCCUUCGUCCGUCCGCCGCCGAGGUACUCCCCUCCUUUCGUCCCUCCUCCCUCCUCGCACAUCCUCCCUCCGCCUGCGGCCGUCCCUCCCUCCUCCUCCGCCGCCCUCCUUCCUCCGCCUGCGGCCGCCCCUCCUCCCUCCUCCGUCGGCAGCCCUCCUCCCACCGCCCUCGACCUCGCCGCCCCUAGCUACCUCUCCGUCGCCCUCCACCCCCUGCCACUAGUUAGUACUAGAUUUAGUAGUAGUAGAUGUUAAUUUAGGCUUCAUAGCUAGUACUAGAUGUUGCAUAGUUAUUACUAGAUUUUUAGUAGUAGUAGAUGUUAAUAGUAGUUAACUAGGGCAGUAUGAUUAAUAGUAGUUGUAGUUGAACUAGUUUAGUCAGUAAAUUAAUAAACUAGUUGAACUAGUUGAAUUAAUAGAACUAAUGUAUUUUUAGUAAGAUAAUUAAUAUAACUAGUUGAACUACUUUAUUUUCAGAAAGAACUAGUUUUUUUAUUUAUAUUAAGUUUAUAUUUAGUAAGAACUAGUUGAAUUAAUAAAACUAGUUGAACAUGUCACAUUUGUUGUUAUUUUUUAGUUUAAGCAAUUAUUCGGGAUGUAUUAGUGAUAACUUAUAUGGUUUCAGGUGACCACCGUUGUCCCCGUCACCGACCCCCUCCGACAUCCCCGCCGUCGUCCCAGUCACCGACCCCCUCCGACAUCGAGGUGAGACCAGCCAAAUAUCCUUGUAUAUCUUGUGUUGUUGCUCAAAUAGGAUAUGUGGUUGCCCAAGUGGCCGUUCAUGUUCAGUUUACAUCUCCGAGUGGCCUAUGUUUUGCCAGAGUGUUGAUUAAUUUCUGCUCCGGCAAAUUUCAGGCGCUCGAUAUGUCCUUUUUUAGCAAAGGUCAUGCCGGAUUUUUUCGUGAAUUCUGGCAUGACUUGAGCUAGAAUAUGUACAAGUUUAAUCUUUGAAUUAUGAACGUAGGAAAUGUCGUACUCGGAAGAUGAGAGUCUCCCGGGGGAGUGUAGCUGGUGCCACGACGAUCGAGGUAUGUGCGACAGGUUCGUUGAGCUGGACGAAGAUCGGCGCUUCAACAUUAAGCUCGAGGAGACCUUCGAUUGUGAAACGGUACGCAACAACGACAAGUGUUUUUUUCGUAAUUAAGCAUGAAUUCAACUGUUUCAACAUCUAAUUUUCAUAUUUUACAAUUCGACUAGCUUAUCCCAUGCCAUGCAAGACGCUAUGUCUUGGAGAGGAUGGGUUUUGAAGACCAUGAAAAUUUCGAAACAAAGAAAAUACACCUAAGGACCCAUCAUGAUAUGGAUUUUGAAGUAAAUAUGUGCAAUGCUCAGAGCGUAACCCAUUUUGGUUGCCAAAAUUGGGAAGCACUUUGCAAAAUGUAUGGUUUUUAUGAGGGUAUGAUUGUGACCAUGGAUCUUGGUGAUCCUGACAUCGAGCAAGACAAUAUGGACAUUUGGGUCCUUGUUGAUACGCUUCCGAUUGUACCGCUAUGUGAGUUUCUCAAACAUAGUUAUUAACUAAUUUAUAUUGUUUAUUUCAAAAUAGUUGAUAGCUUAUUUCCAUUGACAGCUUAUUUUGAUUCUUCAAAGACUAUGCGGAAGAUGGUAGAUAAAACCCACUACACCGAUGGCACCGAAUUAACAUAUAAGGAGAAAAAUCAUCUGAUCGCAUUUUGUACUCUUCUUGAGAAUUACAAUAACUAUUAUUGAACUCCUCCAAAUUAUGGUGAAUACGUGCCACUAGUGCAUGUGUUGAACUACGGUAACUUCUCUGGAGAUACCCUGGUAAGAUUUUUUACUAUUAUGACAUCCGUGCAUCUUUUGCGUACUUCUAAAACUAGUACAUCAUUGCAAACUAUGAAGUUAUUAUUGUGUUUUUCAACAGAAACUCUCGAUGGAUUGUGUGCCUCAUCUGAUGUCUCUGUAUGGUCGCCUCUCAGUUCUGAACAUACUGCCAGGUAAACCUAGGGAGCUCACCUGUGCAUAUCGGAUUUCUAAAACCCGUGAACACAUGUUCAUCAAAGAAUGGAAGAAAUGUAUGGACAUUCGCAAGGAGGUUCUUGGAAGUAACAUUCAGCGAAAGGCAAGAAUUGGAGAUAGGCUAAUCUCCAUUCUCCAUAAUGGAGAGUCAGGGGCUAUCUUGUUUUUUGCUAUUUUACCUUAGAAAAUGUAGUAGGUCUUAAUCGAAUGUAAUAGGUCCUAUGAGGUACAAUAUGUUUAUUAUGUGGUAAUGUGUUAGAGUUGAUAAUGAGGAGUACUUGUGAUUACGACUAGUGACCAAUUUGCUAUCUGAUGUCAUUGAUGAAAAUGAUGAUCUUGAGGAGGUGUUAUAUGACAAUGAUGUAUUAUGAUGAUAAGUUGUUAAUGAUAUGAUGAUGAUGAUGAUAUUAUUAUAUCAUUGGGUGAAAGAACCGCGGAUUAGUUUCAAGUGGAUGGACAUCCACUUGAAACUAGUCCACGGUUCUUUCACCCCGUGAUGUAAUAACUCAUUAUGAUGUAAAAACAAUCUCUAAAUUCCUGUUGUAUGAAAACUUGUGUAAAGGUGUAUGAAUACAACAUGAAAUAAAAAAGAAAUAAAAUACUAAAUAAUAGUAGUAGCGCGGGAAAGUAGAAGCGCUACUACUAAUUACCAGUAGUGCUGUUCUGAAGAAGCGCUACUACUAAGUCAAUUUAGCAGUAGCGUGGAUCUAGGCGCGCUAUUGCUAAGCAUUAGCUGUAGUGCCUUAUCAGUAGCGCUCCUGCCCGCGCUACUGAUAGGCCUAAAACCCGCACUGCUGCUAGGCUUUUCCCUAGUAGUGUGAAACUGUAUACCUAAGCCAUCAUCACUUCAAAAGUACUAGCACUCCUGUUAGCUGUGGAACUUUUGGGAUGGCUCCAUAUUUUUUAUUUGUUCAGGUUUUUUUUCCGCAUCUAACCCUUGGACCAAUUCAUUUGUUUUUUUAUAGGGACCUGACCUCGCGGAAGACGGGUGACCACUUUGCUGCCACAAGUCGCCUCCACACCGUGUAGCCCGCAAACAUGUCUCGGAGCAUUUGCCAAUCAAAUUUUAUGUUGCAAUGAACCGUUGACUCUCGUUGAUCGAACAUCUUGUAUUUUUCAUUUGGACUGUGGCAUGUAUGCAUGUAACAUUUUCAUUUGAACCGUUGAUAGUACUUGCAACAGAUUAUAUGAGCCUUUGUGUUGUUUUGCGUAAUCUAGUUGCACCAUUGUUGCAAGUAUAUUUCUUCUAUGAGCUUUUGAAGCUUUUGAAAUUGUAAAAAUUGCAUCUUUAAUUGUAGUAUACUAAUUUUGUAAA
Molecule: long non-coding RNA, 4897 nt
Filed under: Triticum aestivum (bread wheat)
Lineage: Eukaryota; Viridiplantae; Streptophyta; Magnoliopsida; Poales; Poaceae
Description: long non-coding RNA (TAES_LNC016001)
Source: RNAcentral